UCGGGAUGUAGCGCAGCCCGGUAGCGCACUUGCAUGGGGUGCAAGGGGUCGUGAGUUCGAAUCUCGCCAUCCCGACCCA
This 79-nucleotide transfer RNA is filed under the name Bacteroidota bacterium. RNAcentral describes it as "tRNA-Pro". It matches the Rfam family "tRNA". Rfam says of the family: Transfer RNA (tRNA) molecules are approximately 80 nucleotides in length. Their secondary structure includes four short double-helical elements and three loops (D, anti-codon, and T loops). Lineage: Bacteria; Pseudomonadati; Bacteroidota. The record is from RNAcentral.